CCUACGGGUGGCAGCAGUGAGGAAUAUUGGUCAAUGGACGAGAGUCUGAACCAGCCAAGUAGCGUGAAGGACGACUGCCCUAUGGGUUGUAAACUUCUUUUAUAUGGGAAUAAAAUGUUCCACGUGUGGGAUUUUGUAUGUACCCUAUGAAUAAGCAUCGGCUAACUCCGUGCCAGCAGCCGCGGUAAUACGGAGGAUCCGAGCGUUAUCCGGAUUUAUUGGGUUUAAAGGGUGCGCAGGUGGAUUGUUAAGUCCGGUGUGAAAGUUUGGGGGUCAACCGAAACAUUGCAGUUGAAACUGGCAGUCUGGAGUACAGCAGAGGUGGGCGGAAUGCGGGGUGUAGCGGUGAAAUGCAUAGAUAUCACGAAGAACUCCGAUUGCGAAGGCAGCGCACUGGACUGCAACUGACACUGAGGCUCGAAAGUGUGGGUAUCGAACAGGAUUAGAUACCCCUGUAGUC
RNAcentral lists this ribosomal RNA (460 nucleotides) under uncultured bacterium. Its description in RNAcentral is "partial 16S ribosomal RNA". It matches the Rfam family "Bacterial small subunit ribosomal RNA", at positions 338 to 795 of the family's 1533-position model. The record is from RNAcentral.